CCUUGACUCGUCUCUGGCCAGCUUAGUAGGCAAUCUUGGGAUUUCUGGUACCACAUCAAAAAAGGGAGAUCUCCAGUGGAAUGCUGGGGAGAAGAAGUUGACCGGUGGAGCCAACUGGCAACCAAAAGUCACUCCGGCCACAUGGUCAGCAGGCGUUCCACCGCAAGGCACUGUUCCUCCAACCAGCUCAGUCCCUCCGGGUGCCGGCGCCCCGUCUGUUGGGCAACCUGGAGCAGGAUAUGGAAUGCCUCCUGCGGGGACAGGCAUGACCAUGAUGCCUCAGCAGCCAGUCAUGUUUGCACAGCCCAUGAUGAGGCCACCCUUUGGAGCUGCAGCUGUGCCCGGCACACAGCUGCAAUUUUUGUGACUGAAUAGGAAAACUAAGCUGAGUUUGGAAACGUCA
This 403-nucleotide long non-coding RNA is filed under the name Rattus norvegicus (Norway rat). RNAcentral describes it as "long non-coding RNA NONRATT028843". The record is from RNAcentral. Lineage: Eukaryota; Metazoa; Chordata; Mammalia; Rodentia; Muridae.